RNAcentral lists this long non-coding RNA (343 nucleotides) under Elaeis guineensis (African oil palm). RNAcentral's name for it is "long non-coding RNA (EGUI_LNC046797)". Lineage: Eukaryota; Viridiplantae; Streptophyta; Magnoliopsida; Arecales; Arecaceae. The record is from RNAcentral.
GUCUCUUCUAAAUCAGCAGAUCUGACAUCCAACUGAUUAAAUUCAGGUUAGCACAUCAACAUGUCUAACCAAUCUAGUCGGCGUGGGUGAACUCGACUCAACAAGUAAUCUAACAUGAAACUUAAUCCCUCAAGAUGGUCAAGUAAGUUAAGAUGCAUGGAGUCCUCCCGUUGCUUUUCUUAGUCACCAAUCAAAAUUGAUCUGCAGCCUUCUUCUUCUUCUUCUCGUUCUUCGCUGUAGAUGGACAACACCUCUACUAUUGGCAUAUGAAAAUAUGGGACGCCCAACCCUUAGGCGUGGAAGAGAAGAGAGGGAGGAGAGGAGGCGUGGAGAAGGGAGAGAG